RNAcentral lists this ribosomal RNA (1108 nucleotides) under Bacillus sp. (in: firmicutes). Its description in RNAcentral is "bacterial SSU rRNA". It matches the Rfam family "Bacterial small subunit ribosomal RNA", at positions 358 to 1462 of the family's 1533-position model. The record is from RNAcentral. Lineage: Bacteria; Bacillati; Bacillota; Bacilli; Caryophanales; Bacillaceae.
GGAAUCUUUCCGCAAUGGACGAAAGUCUGACGGAGCAACGCCGCGUGAGUGAUGAAGGUUUUCGGAUCGUAAAGCUCUGUUGUUAGGGAAGAACAAGUGCAAGAGUAACUGCUUGCACCUUGACGGUACCUAACCAGAAAGCCACGGCUAACUACGUGCCAGCAGCCGCGGUAAUACGUAGGUGGCAAGCGUUGUCCGGAAUUAUUGGGCGUAAAGGGCUCGCAGGCGGUUUCUUAAGUCUGAUGUGAAAGCCCCCGGCUCAACCGGGGAGGGUCAUUGGAAACUGGGAAACUUGAGUGCAGAAGAGGAGAGUGGAAUUCCACGUGUAGCGGUGAAAUGCGUAGAGAUGUGGAGGAACACCAGUGGCGAAGGCGACUCUCUGGUCUGUAACUGACGCUGAGGAGCGAAAGCGUGGGGAGCGAACAGGAUUAGAUACCCUGGUAGUCCACGCCGUAAACGAUGAGUGCUAAGUGUUAGGGGGUUUCCGCCCCUUAGUGCUGCAGCUAACGCAUUAAGCACUCCGCCUGGGGAGUACGGUCGCAAGACUGAAACUCAAAGGAAUUGACGGGGGCCCGCACAAGCGGUGGAGCAUGUGGUUUAAUUCGAAGCAACGCGAAGAACCUUACCAGGUCUUGACAUCCUCUGACAACCCUAGAGAUAGGGCUUUCCCUUCGGGGACAGAGUGACAGGUGGUGCAUGGUUGUCGUCAGCUCGUGUCGUGAGAUGUUGGGUUAAGUCCCGCAACGAGCGCAACCCUUGAUCUUAGUUGCCAGCAUUCAGUUGGGCACUCUAAGGUGACUGCCGGUGACAAACCGGAGGAAGGUGGGGAUGACGUCAAAUCAUCAUGCCCCUUAUGACCUGGGCUACACACGUGCUACAAUGGACAGAACAAAGGGCUGCGAGACCGCAAGGUUUAGCCAAUCCCACAAAUCUGUUCUCAGUUCGGAUCGCAGUCUGCAACUCGACUGCGUGAAGCGGAAUCGCUAGUAAUCGCGGAUCAGCAUGCCGCGGUGAAUACGUUCCCGGGCCUUGUACACACCGCCCGUCACACCACGAGCUUUCCAACACCCUUGUCUCUGGCGUCACCUCCUGGUGCCAUCGUCCCCGA